This 864-nucleotide ribosomal RNA is filed under the name uncultured bacterium. RNAcentral's name for it is "bacterial SSU rRNA". It matches the Rfam family "Bacterial small subunit ribosomal RNA", at positions 54 to 916 of the family's 1533-position model. The record is from RNAcentral.
CAUGCAAGUCGUGGGGCAGCACAAAUAGCAAUAUUGGGUGGCGACCGGCAAACGGGUGCGUAACACGUACGCAACCUUCCCGUUACUGGGGAAUAGCCCAGGGAAACUUGGAUUAAUACCCCAUAUUAUAUAGAUCAGGCAUCUGGUUUAUAUCAAAGCUUCGGCGGUAACGGAUGGGCGUGCGGUUGAUUAGGUAGUUGGCGGGGUAACGGCCCACCAAGCCUACGAUCAAUAGCUGAUGUGAGAGCAUGAUCAGCCACACGGGCACUGAGACACGGGCCCGACUCCUACGGGAGGCAGCAGUAAGGAAUAUUGGGCAAUGGACGAAAGUCUGACCCAGCCAUGCCGCGUGAAGGAUGAAGGUCCUCUGGAUUGUAAACUUCUUUUAUCUGGGGCGAAAAUCGGGUAUUCUUAUCCGCUUGACAGUACCAGAGGAAUAAGCACCGGCUAACUCCGUGCCAGCAGCCGCGGUAAUACGGAGGGUGCAAGCGUUAUCCGGAUUCACUGGGUUUAAAGGGUGCGUAGGUGGGCAGGUAAGUCAGUGGUGAAAUCCCCGAGCUUAACUUGGGAACUGCCGUUGAUACUAUCUGUCCUGAAUAUCGUGGAGGUAAGCGGAAUAUGUCAUGUAGCGGUGAAAUGCAUAGAGAUGACAUAGAACACCAAUUGCGAAGGCAGCUUGCUACACGGUAAUUGACACUGAGGCACGAAAGCGUGGGGAGCAAACAGGAUUAGAUACCCUGGUAGUCCACGCCCUAAACGAUGAUCACUCGACAUCAGCGAUACACUGUUGGUGUCUGAGCUAAAGCAUUAAGUGAUCCACCUGGGAAGUACGAUCGCAAGAUUGAAACUCAAAGGAAUUGACGG